Manihot esculenta (cassava) is the source of this 635-nucleotide long non-coding RNA. RefSeq lists it as uncharacterized. The record is from RefSeq and is a predicted model, not a curated record. The transcript has 3 exons. Lineage: Eukaryota; Viridiplantae; Streptophyta; Magnoliopsida; Malpighiales; Euphorbiaceae.
UUAUUUAAAUAAAUAAAUAUAAUUAUUAUACUAAAACCUUAGGAAAUUAGUAUAAAAGGCCAUCUGAUCAUAGCCUAGGUAGUCUCUAGUUUGGUCAUUAGAAUUUCACAAAAAAGGUGGAGACCUAGCAGCUAACACUUUUCUUCUUCUCUUCCCUUAGAAUAGUUUUAAGUUCUUUCAAUUGAUAUUCUGUGUAAUAUUAUGUGUGGAUAUCAUUAGAGGUCAUACACUUGAAAAGUUUGUGGUUUGCGACAACUCAAUCGAGUCGAACAGUUUCAUGUUUUAGCUUCAAAGAAAAUAACAAUUUGCCUCAAUCUCCAUGUGCUAUAGGAAGAGGUUCCAAUCAAAUUACUGGAAAAUCAGUUGGUGGCAAAUCAUUGCUCUAUCAUAAGCUAAAAGAAAUAGAUGCAGGAAAACAUGGACCUGGACAUCCUGUGGGUUUAGAAAGAGGAAUUGAGGACUUGGUUUCUGAUUUCAAGGGGAAAAUCAGCCCAGGCAUGAGGAAGCUGAGCCUACCAUGAAGAAGAAGAAAGCAUCAUGGAUGAACAGUGCAGGUAGAAUUUGCAUCUAAAUUCUCACAUCUUACCUUUUUGUACAGUAUAAGCAUUUUUUCUCACCUAAGCAAAGCAUUUACG